Molecule: transfer RNA, 75 nt
Filed under: Nitrococcus mobilis
Lineage: Bacteria; Pseudomonadati; Pseudomonadota; Gammaproteobacteria; Chromatiales; Ectothiorhodospiraceae
Also listed under: 4 other names
Description: tRNA-Gln
Rfam family: tRNA
About the family: Transfer RNA (tRNA) molecules are approximately 80 nucleotides in length. Their secondary structure includes four short double-helical elements and three loops (D, anti-codon, and T loops).
Source: RNAcentral
UGGGGUGUCGCCAAGCGGUAAGGCACGGGGUUUUGAUCCCCGCAUUCGCAGGUUCGAAUCCUGCCACCCCAGCCA